Molecule: ribosomal RNA, 478 nt
Filed under: uncultured bacterium
Lineage: Bacteria
Description: partial 16S ribosomal RNA
Rfam family: Bacterial small subunit ribosomal RNA
Source: RNAcentral
GACGAACGCUGGCGGCGUGCUUAACACAUGCAAGUCGAACGGUAAGGCCCUUCGGGGUACACGAGUGGCGAACGGGUGAGUAACACGUGGGUGGUCUGCCCUGCACUUCGGGAUAAGCCUGGGAAACUGGGUCUAAUACCGGAUAGGACCACUGCCUGCAUGGGGGGUGGUGGAAAGCUUUUGUGGUGUGGGAUGGGCCCGCGGCCUAUCAGCUUGUUGGUGGGGUGAUGGCCUACCAAGGCGACGACGGGUAGCCGGCCUGAGAGGGUGACCGGCCACACUGGGACUGAGAUACGGCCCAGACUCCUACGGGAGGCAGCAGUGGGGAAUAUUGCACAAUGGGCGCAAGCCUGAUGCAGCGACGCCGCGUGAGGGAUGACGGCCUUCGGGUUGUAGACCUCUUUCAGCACCGACGAAGCGCAAGUGACGGUAGGUGCAGAAGAAGGACCGGCCAACUACGUGCCAGCCGCCGCCGUAA